AACGAACGCUGGCGGCAUGCCUAACACAUGCAAGUCGAACGAGACCUUCGGGUCUAGUGGCGCACGGGUGCGUAACGCGUGGGAACCUGCCUUUAGGUUCGGAAUAACUCAGAGAAAUUUGAGCUAAUACCGGAUAAUGUCUUCGGACCAAAGAUUUAUCGCCUUUAGAUGGGCCCGCGUUGGAUUAGCUAGUUGGUGGGGUAAAGGCCUACCAAGGCGACGAUCCAUAGCUGGUCUGAGAGGAUGAUCAGCCACACUGGGACUGAGACACGGCCCAGACUCCUACGGAGGCAGCAGUGGGGAAUAAUUGGACAAUGGGCGAAAGCCUGAUCCAGCAAUGCCGCGUCGAGUGAUGAAGG
Molecule: ribosomal RNA, 359 nt
Filed under: uncultured bacterium
Lineage: Bacteria
Description: bacterial SSU rRNA
Rfam family: Bacterial small subunit ribosomal RNA
Source: RNAcentral